This 447-nucleotide ribosomal RNA is filed under the name uncultured bacterium. RNAcentral's name for it is "bacterial SSU rRNA". It matches the Rfam family "Bacterial small subunit ribosomal RNA", at positions 329 to 793 of the family's 1533-position model. The record is from RNAcentral.
CUCCAGACUCCUACGGGAGGCAGCAGUGGGGGAUAUUGCACAAUGGGGGAAACCCUGAUGCAGCGACGCCGCGUGGGUGAAGAAGCGCCUCGGCGCGUAAAGCCCUGUCAGCAGGGAAGAAAAUGACGGUACCUGAAGAAGAAGCCCCGGCUAACUACGUGCCAGCAGCCGCGGUAAUACGUAGGGGGCAAGCGUUAUCCGGAUUUACUGGGUGUAAAGGGAGCGCAGGCGGCAUGGCAAGUCUGAUGUGAAAACCCGGGGCCCAACCCCGGGAGUGCAUUGGAAACUGCCAGGCUGGAGUGUCGGAGGGGUAAGCGGAAUUCCUAGUGUAGCGGUGAAAUGCGUAGAUAUUAGGAGGAACACCAGUGGCGAAGGCGGCUUACUGGACGACUACUGACGCUGAGGCUCGAAAGCGUGGGGAGCAAACAGGAUUAGAUACCCGGGUAC